CUACGGGAGGCAGCAGUGGGGAAUAUUGCACAAUGGACGAAAGUCUGAUGCAGCAACGCCGCGUGGAGGAUGACACAUUUCGGUGCGUAAACUCCUUUUAUAUGAGAAGAUAAUGACGGUAUUAUAUGAAUAAGCACCGGCUAACUCCGUGCCAGCAGCCGCGGUAAUACGGGGGGUGCAAGCGUUACUCGGAAUCACUGGGCGUAAAGAGCAUGUAGGCGGAUUAAUAAGUUUGAAGUGAAAUCCUAUAGCUUAACUAUAGAACUGCUUUGAAAACUGUUAAUCUAGAAUGUGGGAGAGGUAGAUGGAAUUUCUGGUGUAGGGGUAAAAUCCGUAGAGAUCAGAAGGAAUACCGAUUGCGAAGGCGAUCUACUGGAACAUUAUUGACGCUGAGAUGCGAAAGCGUGGGGAGCAAACAGGAUUAGAUACCCCGGU
RNAcentral lists this ribosomal RNA (435 nucleotides) under uncultured bacterium. RNAcentral's name for it is "bacterial SSU rRNA". It matches the Rfam family "Bacterial small subunit ribosomal RNA", at positions 339 to 791 of the family's 1533-position model. The record is from RNAcentral.